UAAUUAAUGGGGUAUACUGUAUUGAAAUUCUAGAACGUCAACAUACAAGCGCUGCAUCAAAGUCUAAUUCCGUAAACUGAGAAGAAAAAUCAACCAUCCUAUUCAAACAACGCGCUCCAACCUACAUAUACACCUCAUCCCAACAAGUUUGUUAUUGUUUUCUAAUAACAUAGAACUAAUGGCAGGUGGCUCUAUGAGGUCUGCUUUGGUGACCCUCUUCAUCUUUGCCGUCGUACUCUCUCCGAUUUCAACCCCAGAGGCAGCUCGAUUCGUUUUUCUAGAUACAACUCCUAUAUGUCCAGCUUGUGUAUGCUGCGCACCUGCACCACAAGGCUCUUGUUGCGAUUGUUGUGCUACACCAAUUGAAACUCAGUCCCAGGAAGGGUCACCAUGAUACAGCAAAUAUGUAUACAUAUAUAUACCUGGCUUCAUGUCACGGUGAAGGAAAAAUAAUGAUCAUUUGUAUAUAGAAAGCUGAACACGGGCUUCCUCUUCUUGGAAACCAUGUCCCAUCUUGAAUAAAACUAUAUGUUAUAACA
Molecule: long non-coding RNA, 539 nt
Organism: Pyrus x bretschneideri (Chinese white pear)
Lineage: Eukaryota; Viridiplantae; Streptophyta; Magnoliopsida; Rosales; Rosaceae
Exons: 2
Source: RefSeq, a predicted model, not a curated record